AGGGAUAUAGUUAAUUAUAACAUUUAGUUUGCAUCUAAAAAGUAUUGAUCUUAUCAAUUUUUCUU
Molecule: transfer RNA, 65 nt
Filed under: Porhydrus obliquesignatus
Lineage: Eukaryota; Metazoa; Arthropoda; Insecta; Coleoptera; Dytiscidae
Description: tRNA-Ala
Source: RNAcentral